AUGAAAGCUAUAGCGUGGAAUUGCCGAGGCAUGGGCCGGAGCCUCAGCAAUGAUCGUAUGCUAUUUCUGGCUAAUCUGAUCCAUUCUACUAAAGCGCAGGUAACUUUUGUUUCUGAAAUAAAAUCUUCUAAAGUGCGAUCAAUUGAUCUGGUUAAUAGAUUUGAUGUUGCCAACAGUUUUGUUGUUCCUUCGAAAGGGGCCUCUAGAGGGCUCUGGCUAAUGUGGAAUGAUGAUCUUAAAGUCACUAUUCAUGCUGCUUCCUUCCACUAUAUAUUAGCUAUUGUACUUCAUGUAACCACUGGUGUCCAAUUUUGUUUGGUCUGUAUAUAUGGUAAUCCCUAUCAUAGACAAACUACUGCCAUUUGGAGUGAGAUUUCAACUUUUGUGUAUGAUAAUCUGGGUCUGCCCAUGAUGUGUAUGGGAGACCUUAAUGACAUCUUGUACGAUACGGAUGGUUGUAACGGCAAUGUUAACUAUUAUCGUAUGAAUGUUUUCCGCUCUCUUGUUAAAAAUUGUGGAUUCUAUGAUAUAGGUUUUAGUGGUCCUGCGUAUACUUGGCGUAGUAAACAACACACUUCGAAACCUAUUUAUAGACGCCUUGAUCGCUGCUUGGUUAAUUCUGAAUGGUGCAUGCAUUAUCCUAAUACUAAAGUCCUCAACUUGCCUAUUAUUCUUAGUGAUCAUGCCCCCAUUCUAGUGUCUACUGAAGGUACUUUUGUUAAACCUAAGCAAACAUUUAAGUUUGAAAAUUGGUGGCUGCUGGAGAAAGAUUUCGCUAGUUUUGCUAAAUCUGCAUGGAAUAAUUGCUCAGUUCACUCCUUGGCAGCCAAAACCUCUUAUUUGGCAGGUUCCUUAAAGAUGUGGUGCAAGAAAAAAAGCCUCUCCAGCAGGAUCUUCUUGACCUAG
Molecule: ribosomal RNA, 906 nt
Filed under: Triticum aestivum (bread wheat)
Lineage: Eukaryota; Viridiplantae; Streptophyta; Magnoliopsida; Poales; Poaceae
Description: partial small subunit ribosomal RNA
Source: RNAcentral